Molecule: ribosomal RNA, 665 nt
Filed under: Salmonella enterica subsp. enterica serovar Infantis
Lineage: Bacteria; Pseudomonadati; Pseudomonadota; Gammaproteobacteria; Enterobacterales; Enterobacteriaceae
Also listed under: 1 other name
Description: partial 23S ribosomal RNA
Rfam family: Bacterial large subunit ribosomal RNA
Source: RNAcentral
AGACCCGAAACCCGGUGAUCUAGCCAUGGGCAGGUUGAAGGUUGGGUAACACUAACUGGAGGACCGAACCGACUAAUGUUGAAAAAUUAGCGGAUGACCUGUGGCUGGGGGUGAAAGGCCAAUCAAACCGGGAGAUAGCUGGUUCUCCCCGAAAGCUAUUUAGGUAGCGCCUCGUGAAUUCAUCUCCGGGGGUAGAGCACUGUUUCGGCUAGGGGGCCAUCCCGGCUUACCAACCCGAUGCAAACUGCGAAUACCGGAGAAUGUUAUCACGGGAGACACACGGCGGGUGCUAACGUCCGUCGUGAAGAGGGAAACAACCCAGACCGCCAGCUAAGGUCCCAAAGUCAUGGUUAAGUGGGAAACGAUGUGGGAAGGCCCAGACAGCCAGGAUGUUGGCUUAGAAGCAGCCAUCAUUUAAAGAAAGCGUAAUAGCUCACUGGUCGAGUCGGCCUGCGCGGAAGAUGUAACGGGGCUAAACCAUGCACCGAAGCUGCGGCAGCGAACGUAUCACUUAAAGCGAUUCAGCGGGUUACGAUUGACGGAGCGAAGCGACGUCAAAGCGUAUACAAAGUCGAGUCGGUUUAAGGAUACGUUCGUUGGGUAGGGGAGCGUUCUGUAAGCCUGCGAAGGUGGCCUGUGAGGGUUGCUGGAGGUAUCAGAAGUGC